Molecule: long non-coding RNA, 455 nt
Filed under: Malus domestica (apple)
Lineage: Eukaryota; Viridiplantae; Streptophyta; Magnoliopsida; Rosales; Rosaceae
Description: long non-coding RNA (MDOM_LNC009192)
Source: RNAcentral
AAGUAAUGUUAAUACUUGCAUGUUAGUUUUUGUAAGUAAUUAAGUAAUGUUAACAAUUGCAUGUUAAUUUUUUUUAAGUAAUUAAUACUUGCAUGUUAGUUUUUGUAAGUAAUUAAGUAAUGUUAACAAUUACAUGUUAAUUUUUUUUAAGUAAUUAAUACUUGCAUGUUAGUUUUUGUAAGUAAUUAAGUAAUGUUAAUACUUGCAUGUUAGUUUUUGUAAGUAAUUAAGUAAUGUUAACAAUUGCAUGUUAAUUUUUUUUAAGUAAUUAAUACUUGCAUGUUAGUUUUUGUAAGUAAUUAAGUAAUGUUAAUACUUGCAUGUUAGUUUUUGUAAGUAAUUAAGUAAUGUUAACAAUUGCAUGUUAAUUUUUUUUAAGUAAUUAAUACUUGCAUGUUAGUUUUUGUAAGUAAUUAAGUAUUGUUAACAAUUACAUGUUAAUUUUUUUUAAGUAA